RNAcentral lists this ribosomal RNA (303 nucleotides) under uncultured bacterium. RNAcentral's name for it is "partial 16S ribosomal RNA". It matches the Rfam family "Bacterial small subunit ribosomal RNA", at positions 507 to 807 of the family's 1533-position model. The record is from RNAcentral.
AGCAGUCGCCGCGGUAAUACGUAGGUGGCAAGCGUUGUCCGGAAUUAUUGGGCGUAAAGGGCUCGCAGGCGGUUUCUUAAGUCCGAUGUGAAAGCCCCCGGCUCAACCGGGAAGGGUCAUUGGAAACUGGGAAACUUGAGUGCAGAAGAGGAGAGUGGAAUUCCACGUGUAGCGGUGAAAUGCGUAGAGAUGUGGAGGAACACCAGUGGCGAAGGCGACUCCCUGGUCUGUAACUGACGCUGAGGAGCGAAAGCGUGGGGAGCGAACAGGAUUAGAUACCCCUGUAGUCCCUGUCUCUUAUAC